GAUGAACGCUGGCGGCGUGCCUAAUACAUGCCAGUCGAGCGAACAGACGAGGAGCUUGCUCCUCUGACGUUAGCGGCGGACGGGUGAGUAACACGUGGAUAACCUACCUAUAAGACUGGGAUAACUUCGGGAAACCGGAGCUAAUACCGGAUAAUAUAUUGAACCGCAUGGUUCAAUAGUGAAAGACGGUUUUGCUGUCACUUAUAGAUGGAUCCGCGCCGCAUUAGCUAGUUGGUAAGGUAACGGCUUACCAAGGCAACGAUGCGUAGCCGACCUGAGAGGGUGAUCGGCCACACUGGAACUGAGACACGGUCAAGACGCCUACGGGAGGCAGCAGUAGGGAAUCUUCCGCAAUGGGCGAAAGCAUGACGGAGCAACGCCGCGUGAGUGAUGAAGGUCUUCGGAUCGUAAAACUCUGUUAUUAGGGAAGAACAAAUGUGUAAGUAACUAUGCACGUCUUGACGGUACCUAAUCAGAAAGCCACGGCUAACUACGUG
Molecule: ribosomal RNA, 497 nt
Filed under: uncultured bacterium
Lineage: Bacteria
Description: partial 16S ribosomal RNA
Rfam family: Bacterial small subunit ribosomal RNA
Source: RNAcentral